This is an RNA transcript of Haemorhous mexicanus (house finch), 1845 nucleotides long. It is a transcript of the gene named matrix metalloproteinase-24-like, with no coding region annotated. NCBI's taxonomy places the organism in Eukaryota, Metazoa, Chordata, Aves, Passeriformes, Fringillidae. The record is from RefSeq and is a predicted model, not a curated record. The transcript has 7 exons.
AUGUCCCUGCUGACUGCCCCUCCAGCCGUCCUGCUGUCGGCUACCCGCAGCUGGUAUCACGUUCUCUCCCGGAGAUGGUCACAACGAAUAACCUUUCUUAAGAAAACUUUGCAUAUGCCACGCUUUGCCACACGCCGGCCGGUCACGGCGACCCGCGGCGCACUCCCCGCGGGGCAGCCCCGGGCCGACCGGCAGAGGAAGCAUCGGAUUCCGCUGCCCGCCUUCCCUUUCCCUUUCCUCUUUCGCCGUCCCUCUUCCUCCUUCUCCUUCCGGGCAGCCGCGCAGCCGCAGCCGCGGCGCCGGGGCCGGAGCGCUCCGAGCGCCGCUGGUGCCGACCCGGGCCCGGGCCCCGCCGGGGCCAUGGCGCGCUGCCCGCGCCGGGCGCUGGGCGCGGCGGGGCCGCUGCUGCCGCUGCUCUGCGCGCUGCUCCGCGCCGCCGCCGACACCAGCACCGGCCGGGGUUGGUUAAAAACUUAUGGCUACUUACUUCCAUCUGACAGCCAAAUGUCUCCCUUGCAGUCAGGAAAAGCUGUGCAGUCUGCAGUUGCCACUAUGCAACAGUUUUAUGGAAUCCCAGUAACAGGAGUUUUGGACCAGACAACUAUUGAGUGGAUGAAGAAGCCUCGCUGUGGAGUUCCGGAUCAUCCCCACCUGCGCCGCAGCCGGAGGAAAAAGCGGUAUGCACUCACGGGCCAGAAGUGGAGACAGAAGCACAUAACCUACAGUGUCCACAACUACACCCCCAAGGUUGGCGAGAUUGAUACGAGGAGAGCCAUUCGUCAGGCCUUUGAUGUUUGGCAGAGAGUGACACCACUUACCUUUGAAGAGGUUCCUUACCAUGAAAUUAAGAAUGACAGAAAGGAGGCAGAUAUUAUGAUCUUUUUUGCUUCUGGUUUCCACGGAGACAGUUCUCCAUUUGAUGGAGAAGGUGGAUUCCUGGCUCAUGCUUACUUUCCUGGACCAGGAAUUGGAGGAGACACUCACUUUGACUCAGAUGAGCCAUGGACCCUGGGAAAUUCUAAUCAUGAUGGACAUACCUACUUAACGCUGGUUUCAUCCUGUAGCUGCUUGGAGAGAGACUCCAUCCCAUAAGCCGGAGCUCUCUCACAUCCUGUGCUAAUGUUGAACAGAUUUGAGCAAGGAUAUAGACACAUGAUUUCAAGAAAGCCAGCCACAGUAAAAAGAAAUCAAAUCAGGCAGCUUAAAUCAGCAGCAGUUUGAGAUUGCACCCCUGUCCUGUCAACCUGAAGGAGAAGAGAGGAAGCCCAUCAGCACAUGGGGAAGAUUUCUGUCUUCACAUUCUCCUCUCCACCCCUGGACAGCCUCUCUAGAGUGAAAUACUCUGGGAUUCACAGGAAAGAGCCAGUAAGAACCAAAAUGGUGUGUCAUUCCCUUAAAAAGGAAGGGAAAAAAAAGUGUGGAAAAAAAACAGGUCACAAGAAUCAAGAUAGAAAAGCUGUUUUCCACAGAAUUCCACAGAGCACUAUCACCCUUUCUUCAGGGUCUUCAGAAGAUUGGAAAGCUUUCCUUGAGCAGAGCGUGUCGUGGAGGUGAAUGGAGGAGCACAGACAAAUCACAUGUUCUUCUGCUGGACAGCUCAGACCUACCUCAGGUCUGAAGAUGCAAGAACCAAGGCAUAGCUUAGAGUAGCCCUAAAGCUUCUUUAAGUUGUGCUUGGGCAACAGUUGUCUCUACAUGGCUGUUGGGGUAGAAGGAACAUAAGCAUGUUUAGUUCACGCCAUCUCCUCUGUAACUACCUGAGCCAUGCUAUUGUCACACACAGUCAAUCAUCUGACUUCUUAAGGAUCAUUCUUACUUUAAUAAAAUUUCAAAAUACAACCCUCA